Molecule: ribosomal RNA, 1384 nt
Filed under: uncultured bacterium
Lineage: Bacteria
Description: bacterial SSU rRNA
Rfam family: Bacterial small subunit ribosomal RNA
Source: RNAcentral
CCUGGCUCACCAUUAGCGCUAUCUACAGGCUUAACACAUGCGAGUCGAGGGGCAGCAUUUCAGUUUGCUUGCUAACUGGAGAUGGCGACCGGCGCACGGGUGAGUAACACGUAUCCAACCUGCCGAUAACUCGGGGAUAGCCUUUCGAAAGAAAGAUUAAUACCCGAUGGCAUAAUUAGACCGCAUGGUCUUAUUAUUAAAGAAUUUCGGAUAUCGAUGGGGAUGCGUUCCAUUAGGCAGUUGGUGAGGUAACGGCUCACCAAACCUUCGAUGGAUAGGAGUUCUGAGAGGAAGGUCCCCCACAUUGGAACUGAUACACGGGCCAUACUCCUACGAGAGGCAGCAGUGAGGAAUAUUGGUCAAUGGGCGCAGGCCUGAACCAGCCAAGUAGCGUGAAGGAUGACUGCCCUAUGGGUUGUAAACUUCUUUUAUAUGGGAAUAAAGUUUUCCACGUGUGGAAUUUUGUAUGUACCAUAUGAAUAAGGAUCGGCUAACUCCGUGCCAGCAGCCGCGGUAAUACGGAGGAUCCGAGCGUUAUCCGGAUUUAUUGGGUUUAAAGGGAGCGUAGGUGGAUAGUUAAGUCAGUUGUGAAAGUUUGCGGCUCAACCGUAAAAUUGCAGUUGAUACUGGCUGUCUUGAGUACAGUAGAGGUGGGCGGAAUUCGUGGUGUAGCGGUGAAAUGCUUAGAUAUCACGAAGAACUCCGAUUGCGAAGGCAGCUCACUGGACUGCAACUGACACUGAUGCUCGAAAGUGUGGGUAUCAAACAGGAUUAGAUACCCUGGUAGUCCACACAGUAAACGAUGAAUACUCGCUGUUUGCGAUAUACAGUAAGCGGCCAAGCGAAAGCAUUAAGUAUUCCACCUGGGGAGUACGCCGGCAACGGUGAAACUCAAAGGAAUUGACGGGGGCCCGCACAAGCGGAGGAACAUGUGGUUUAAUUCGAUGAUACGCGAGGAACCUUACCCGGGCUUAAAUUGCAUUUGAAUAAUCUGGAAACAGGUUAGCCGUAAGGCAAAUGAGAAGGUGCUGCAUGGUUGUCGUCAGCUCGUGCCGUGAGGUGUCGGCUUAAGUGCCAUAACGAGCGCAACCCCUAUCUUUAGUUACUAACAGGUUAUGCUGAGGACUCUAGAGAGACUGCCGUCGUAAGAUGUGAGGAAGGUGGGGAUGACGUCAAAUCAGCACGGCCCUUACGUCCGGGGCUACACACGUGUUACAAUGGGGGGUACAGAAGGCAGCUACCUGGUGACAGGAUGCUAAUCCCAAAAGCCUCUCUCAGUUCGGAUCGAAGUCUGCAACCCGACUUCGAGAAGCUGGAUUCGCUAGUAAUCGCGCAUCAACCAUGGCGCGGUGAAUACGUUCCCGGGCCUUGUACACACCGCCCG